GGAUUCCCCUAGUAACUGCGAGUGAAGCGGGAAGAGCUCAAAUUUAAAAUCUGGCGGUCUCUGGCCGUCCGAGUUGUAAUCUAGAGAAGUGUUACCCGCGCUGGACCGUGUACAAGUCUCCUGGAAUGGAGCGUCAUAGAGGGUGAGAAUCCCGUCUCUGACACGGACUACCAGGGCUUUGUGGUACGCUCUCAAAGAGUCGAGUUGUUUGGGAAUGCAGCUCAAAAUGGGUGGUAAAUUCCAUCUAAAGCUAAAUAUUGGCGAGAGACCGAUAGCGAACAAGUACCGUGAGGGAAAGAUGAAAAGAACUUUGGAAAGAGAGUUAAACAGUACGUGAAAUUGCUGAAAGGGAAACGCUUGAAGUCAGUCGCGUUGGCCGGGGAUCAGCCUCACUUUUGUGUGGUGUACUUUCUGGUUGACGGGUCAGCAUCAAUUUUGACCGCUGGAAAAAGGCUUGGGGAAUGUGGCAGCUUCGGCUGUGUUAUAGCCCCUUGUCACAUACAGCGGUUGGGAUUGAGGAACUCAGCACGCCGCAAGGCCGGGUUUCGACCACGUUCGUGCUUAGGAUGCUGGCAUAAUGGCUUUAAGCGACCCGUCUUGAAACACGGACCAAGGAGUCUAACAUGCCUGCGAGUGUUUGGGUGGAAAACCCGAGCGCGUAAUGAAAGUGAAAGUUGAGAUCCCUGUCGUGGGGAGCAUCGACGCCCGGACCAGAACUUUUGGGACGGAUCCGCGGUAGAGCAUGUAUGUUGGGACCCGAAAGAUGGUGAACUAUGCCUGAAUAGGGUGAAGCCAGAGGAAACUCUGGUGGAGGCUCGUAGCGAUUCUGACGUGCAAAUCGAUCGUCAAAUUUGGGUAUAGGGGCGAAAGACUAAUCGA
RNAcentral lists this ribosomal RNA (879 nucleotides) under Macrolepiota mastoidea. Its description in RNAcentral is "LSU rRNA". It matches the Rfam family "Eukaryotic large subunit ribosomal RNA", at positions 72 to 938 of the family's 3401-position model. Lineage: Eukaryota; Fungi; Basidiomycota; Agaricomycetes; Agaricales; Agaricaceae. The record is from RNAcentral.